CCCUUAGAUGUCCUGGGCUGCACGCGCGCUACACUGAUGCGUCCAAUAAGCACCUAACCUAAUCCGAAGGGACCGGGUAACCUUAGCAAAGCGCAUCGUGAUGGGGAUAGAUUAUUGCAAUUAUUAGUCUUGAACGAGGAAUUCCUAGUAAGCGCCAGUCAGCAGCUUGCGCUGAUUACGUCCCUGCCCUUUGUACACACCGCCCGUCGCUCCUACCGAUGGGUGAUCCGGUGAAUGAUUCGGACUUCAGCGGCUCCCCUGGGGUGCGCCGGAGAAAGUUUUGUGAACCUUAUCACUUGGAGGAAGGAGAAGUCGUAACA
Molecule: ribosomal RNA, 320 nt
Filed under: uncultured eukaryote
Lineage: Eukaryota
Description: partial 18S ribosomal RNA
Rfam family: Eukaryotic small subunit ribosomal RNA
Source: RNAcentral